UGGGAAGUCCAAGAUCAUGAGCAUCUGG
This 28-nucleotide non-coding RNA is filed under the name Homo sapiens (human). Lineage: Eukaryota; Metazoa; Chordata; Mammalia; Primates; Hominidae. The record is from RNAcentral.